Molecule: long non-coding RNA, 355 nt
Filed under: Homo sapiens (human)
Lineage: Eukaryota; Metazoa; Chordata; Mammalia; Primates; Hominidae
Description: HSALNT0229063
Source: RNAcentral
ACAAGCUUCUGGACUCUGGAUCCAGUCGGGGCUGUGCUGCUUACAGGCACGUCUGAACUUGAGCAAGUUACCUGCUUCUCUGCACCUCUGUUUUCUCAUCUAUAAAAUAGGGAUGAUACUGACAGCUCCCAGCUCACAGACAAGGCCGUUGGUGUGCCUGGCACAAGUGUCAAGGUCAAGGUGUUGAACGUCUUUCGAGUCACGAGUAACCAGUUAUAUUGGCUAUUUCAGAAUGCUUUACAGCCAAAAAGUCCUUGAACGAAGGAAGAAGUCCACUAAGUCUCAUCAGCAAGGGUCCAGCUUCUCUUCAUCUGCAUGUUUUGAACAAUAAAAAUGACUACCACUUUCUGAGAAC